CCUACGGGGGGCAGCAGUCGAGAAUCUUGGGCAAUGCGCGAAAGCGUGACCCAGCAAUGCCGCGUGCGGGAUGAAGGUCUUCGGAUUGUAAACCGCUGUCACUCGGGACGAACAAAAUGACGGUACCGAGGGAGGAAGCCACGGCUAACUACGUGCCAGCAGCCGCGGUAAUACGUAGGUGGCGAGCGUUGUUCGGAUUUAUUGGGCGUAAAGGGUCCGCAGGAGGUUUGUUAAAAUUGGGGUGAAAUCCCGGAGCUCAACUCCGGAACUGCCUU
RNAcentral lists this ribosomal RNA (275 nucleotides) under uncultured Victivallis sp. RNAcentral's name for it is "partial 16S ribosomal RNA". It matches the Rfam family "Bacterial small subunit ribosomal RNA", at positions 338 to 627 of the family's 1533-position model. Lineage: Bacteria; Pseudomonadati; Lentisphaerota; Lentisphaeria; Victivallales; Victivallaceae. The record is from RNAcentral.